GCCGUGGCCAUGGAGCUCUGGAAGCUGGGCUGGGGGAGGAAGCCUGGUGGCUCUGACCUCCCCUGGAGGCGAAGGAGGCCCAGCCAUGACACUCUUAACGGAUGCCACGCCGCUGGUGAAGGAGCCCCAUCCCCUGCCUCUGGUCCCACGUCCCUGGUUCCUCCCUAGCCUCUUUGCUGCCUUCAAUGUGGUGCUGCUGGUCUUUUUCAGUGGCCUCUUCUUCGCAUUCCCUUGCAGGUGGCUGGCUCAGAACGGGGAGUGGGCCUUUCCUGUUAUCACAGGCUCCCUCUUUGUCCUUACCUUCUUCAGUCUUGUUUCACUCAACUUCUCAGACCCUGGCAUCUUACAUCAAGGCUCCGCUGAGCAGGGCCCCUUGACGGUGCACGUGGUGUGGGUGAACCACGGGGCCUUCCGCCUGCAAUGGUGUCCAAAGUGCUGCUUCCACCGCCCGCCCCGGACUUACCACUGCCCCUGGUGCAACAUCUGUGUGGAGGACUUUGACCACCACUGCAAGUGGGUCAAUAACUGCAUCGGUCACCGCAACUUCCGCUUCUUCAUGCUGCUUGUCCUGUCCCUGUGCCUCUACUCGGGCGCCAUGCUGGUCACCUGUCUCAUCUUCCUGGUGCGCACAACCCACCUGCCCUUCUCCACCGACAAGGCCAUCGCCAUCGUGGUGGCCGUGUCCGCCGCGGGCCUCCUGGUGCCGCUGUCCCUCCUGCUGCUGAUCCAGGCACUGUCCGUGAGCUCGGCCGACCGCACCUACAAGGGCAAGUGCAGACACCUUCAGGGAUACAACCCCUUCGACCAGGGCUGUGCCAGCAACUGGUAUUUAACAAUUUGUGCACCACUGGGACCCAAGGCACUGGGAGCUCUGGGGCCUCCCUACGUCCUUGGCUCUGUGUGUUCCUGCCCCACUAUGGCAUACAGGGCUGCUGCAUCCUGGAUGAGGCUGGCCUCAGCUUCCUGCAGAGCUAAGCCCUGGGCCGUGUGCUUCCCAAGCUGAGGCGGGCAGGGGAGCCGGACCAGGGAGGACGGUGGCCCCUGCAUCUGGCCUGCUGCUCCCCAGGUACAUGGCUGAAGCUGUCCAGCUGCAGAGAGUGGUGGGGCCUGACUGGACAUCCAUGCCGAAUCUGCACCCUCCAAUGUCCCCCUCUGCUCUCAACCCCCCAGCCCCAACCUCUGGGUCCCUACAAAGCAGGGAAGGGACCCCCGGGGCGUGGUGAGGCUGCAGCUCUCCAGGAGUUCCACACGGGCCCAGUGCUGCCCCUGCUGCUGCAGGAGCCCCCAGGCGAGGUUCGGCCUUCCUCUCGCCCCUGUGCACCCGGAGAUGCCCACAGCACCAGCACCUGAGCUCACCUCCGAACCCGCCUCCUGAACCCGCCUCCUGAACCUGCCUCCUUACCUCCCACUUCCUGAGCCCUGAGUGGAAGCCUUUCUGUGCCUUGCCCUUUGCCCACUCCCCUGGUGGGACUGCCAAGACCCUCAAUGCCCAUUAAAUACUCUUGCCUGCCUCUUA
This is an RNA transcript of Homo sapiens (human), 1516 nucleotides long. It is a transcript of the gene named zDHHC palmitoyltransferase 19, with no coding region annotated. NCBI's taxonomy places the organism in Eukaryota, Metazoa, Chordata, Mammalia, Primates, Hominidae. The transcript has 8 exons. The record is from RefSeq and is marked validated.